CAAAACCCAUUGCAAAGCCUAGAAUUUAUUCAAAAAACUUUAUGAUGUGCUUGAGAUGAGCAUAAUUCUGAGAGCUUUUGGGAGAGUCACACUCACAAUCUCUCAUGUAAGUGGAUUUCUGUUUCACAGGAAGAAUGCCAGUGUCACUCAGUUCUAAAUCAUGCCCUCAGGGCUCUUAGCAGGACCUCGGUAGAGCUGGCAAUUACCCACUGAUUACAUCUGAAGAUUUUUGCUAAUGGACUUCCUCUCUUCUGAGGACUUCAUGUUCAGUGUACACCAAGGACAGAGGAUACUGAUUUGAGACAGAAAACAGAAUUGGCUCCAUACAAAGGACUUACUUUCAGUUGAAACCUGACCUGCAUCCCAUGAUCGAAUGUAGUCGUCCUGGGGGAAGGAGAGAAGGAAACACUGACAUUCAGACAGUAUUGAACACAAUGGGAGGAACAGGAAGAAGCAAAUCUGUGCCUGCAGCUAAGCAUGUUCUUCUAAUUGGAGUACCAUAGUUUAAUGUCAUUUUAGAGUGCUGAACGAAUGUUAAUAUAUGUCAUUCUUAUGAGGUGCUGGAGUUUAACAGUAAAGCGCUGUCAAAGAUCUGACAUAAUACUAGCUUCAGUGCCAUUUUGUGUUUAGCUAUUGUACAAAUGAGAAAAAAGAGUCUUCCAAACUCUUAUUAUUAAAUAGGCUAUCAUAGAAUUAUGAAGUGAUUGAGCAUAUUUAGAAAAUACUGUAUAUAUUUACUGACCUCCACUUCCUGAAGAAUCGUGAGACACAUGUAAGGAAGAGAGGAGAGAAGAGAGAGAUGAGUCAUGUAUUAGCCGUACUCGGACAUACACGUCCACUCUUCCCAAGAAUUCCCUUGUAUUUUCUGUUAUGCUCUAAAGACAGUGCCUCAAUAGAGGCAGCAUCAUUCUGACUGUUCACACUAUAUUCACACUGUUCAUAGUGCGUGGCACUCUUUGUGCUAUUUUUCCAGUAUCUGAUGAUGGCUCUUUCUGCAAAUUAUUCUGCUUGUUCAGACAAUGUGCUUUACAGAAAGGCUGCUCUUUACACAAAAUAGGGUUUUCAACCAUUGCAAUUGCAAGUUAGAGCUCCUUCCAUAUCUAUUAGAAAUGGAUAAAAAAAAUACUGUGUAAACAAGAUGAAUAAACUGUUUACUUGGCUUAUGUUAGUUACCCCACAAUAAAUCUAAAGUUUAAAAUUGA
This is a long non-coding RNA of Alosa sapidissima (American shad), 1202 nucleotides long. RefSeq lists it as uncharacterized. NCBI's taxonomy places the organism in Eukaryota, Metazoa, Chordata, Actinopteri, Clupeiformes, Clupeidae. The record is from RefSeq and is a predicted model, not a curated record. The transcript is spliced from 2 exons.